ACUACGGGUGGCAGCAGUGGGGGAUAUUGCACAAUGGGGGAAACCCUGAUGCAGCGACGCCGCGUGUGGGCAGACGGUCCUCUGGAUUGUACACCACUGUCCCCAGGGACGAAGAUGACGGUACCUGGGGAGGAAGCUCCGUCUAACUACGUGACAGCAGCCGCGGUAAUACGUAGGGAGCGAGCGUUGUCCGGAAUUACUGGGUGUAAAGGGAGCGUAGGCGGGACUGCAAGUUGGGUGUAAAAUCUACCGGCUCAACCGGUAGCCGCACUCAAAACUGCAGUUCUUGAGUGAAGUAGAGGCAGGCGGAAUUCCUAGUGUAGCGGUGAAAUGAGUAGAUAUUAGGAGGAACACCAGUGGCGAAGGCGGCCUGCUGGGCUUUUACUGACGCUGAGGCUCGAAAUUGUGGGGAGCAAACAGGAUUAGAUACCCUUGUAGUC
RNAcentral lists this ribosomal RNA (440 nucleotides) under uncultured bacterium. RNAcentral describes it as "partial 16S ribosomal RNA". It matches the Rfam family "Bacterial small subunit ribosomal RNA", at positions 338 to 795 of the family's 1533-position model. The record is from RNAcentral.